Molecule: ribosomal RNA, 301 nt
Filed under: uncultured bacterium
Lineage: Bacteria
Description: partial 16S ribosomal RNA
Rfam family: Bacterial small subunit ribosomal RNA
Source: RNAcentral
CAGCCGCCACGGUAAUACGAAGGGGGCUAGCGCUGUUCGGAAUUACUGGGCGUAAAGCGCACGUAGGCGGAUAUUUAAGUCAGGGGUGAAAUCCCAAAGCUCAACCUUGGAACUGCCUUUGAUACUGUUUGUCUUGAGUUCGAGAGAGGUAAGUGGAACUGCGAGUGUAGAGGUGAAAUUCGUAGAUAUUCGCAAGAACACCAGUGGCGAAGGCGGCUUACUGGCUCGAAACUGACGCUGAGGCGCGAAAGCGUGGGGAGCAAACAGGAUUAGAUACCCCCGUAGUCCCUGUCUCUUAUAC